UAAGAAGUGGUGUAGAGCCAGGUCUUCC
RNAcentral lists this small RNA (28 nucleotides) under Bombyx mori (domestic silkworm). Its description in RNAcentral is "ovarian small RNA-19119". Lineage: Eukaryota; Metazoa; Arthropoda; Insecta; Lepidoptera; Bombycidae. The record is from RNAcentral.